Molecule: long non-coding RNA, 1639 nt
Filed under: Homo sapiens (human)
Lineage: Eukaryota; Metazoa; Chordata; Mammalia; Primates; Hominidae
Description: non-protein coding lnc-F7-2:1
Source: RNAcentral
GUGCCUGCAGGACAGGGCUCUGAAGUGGAAGUGGGCGGUGGUGAUGCCGAACUGACAAGAAUGAGCUGAAGAGAAGAAAGUAGCCGAGAAGGGGGCCAAGCCGGAGCUCAGUGAGCAACAGCUAGGCCAGCCGCGGCUGGUGCCAUCAGCCACACCACUAACUGUGGACCCAAAUGGAAACUUUGAGGCCCCUUACAGGUCCCCCAGCGCAGGCCACCGCCGAAGGUUACUGGGGAAGACCCCUGCAGCUUCCAUGUGGACAUUACUCGCUUGCUUCAUCCCGGAGUGCAGUCACCUGCAGCCUGGGACCACCUGACUGAUGUCACCCUGGAGAUCCAUGCCAAAAGAGCUGGGGAAAGUUCACCUUCUAAUGACCCCUGCGGACCAGGGUGAAGUUACAAGUUAUGGCCAGGUCAAGGAAUUAUAAGUCAAUAAAUAAACUGCCUCAGGGAGACGUACUCAGAGUCCAGGAAAAUCUAGGAAACACCAAGAAGGGCGAGCGCAGCAUCAGCCCCUGCAAAAUUGCACUGCUGCCUCCUGGCUCACAUGUUGCCCCAUCCUUACUUUAGCCUCAAAGGCAAGGAGACCCAAUAUUAUUUGAGUACUUGGAUUUGAUCCUGAGUGACUUUCUGAGAAAGCAGUGUAUCAUCUGCCCUAAGAUCACCACAUAUAUGACAAGGUUUUUGGAUGAGUUGAGAUUUCUAGACAUUGAAACCCUCAUGAUGAACGUCAUCCCGGGUAGCAGGGGCUAAGCCUUUCAUCACCUGCUACAACAAGCUGGACAUUAACUUGUAUUUGAGAAUUGCUCCAGGACUCUACCUUCAGAUGCUGGUUAGUAGCAUUGACUGGAUUUAUGAAAUUGGAUGCCAGUUAAGGAAUAAGAGAAUGUAUUUGAUUUGCCACCCUAUAUGGUCUGUGCAGACUGUCAUGAUCUCAUUGAAAUCCAAGAAAAGAUUAUGUCAGGGAUGAAGCACAUCACAGGUGGUUACAAGGUCACCCACCAUCCAGAUGGCUCAGAAAGCCAAACCUAUGGGUUGACUUCUCCUCACCCUUCUGGAGAAUCAGUGUGGUAGAAGAGCUUGAAAAAGUGCUGGGUGUGACGCUGCCAGAAACUAACCUCUUUGGAACUGAAGAAACUCAAAAAAUUAUUGGUGAUAUCUAUGUAACAAAAGCUUUUGAAAGUCUUCUACCUCAGAACAUAUUCAGGCGCCUUGAUAAACUUGUCAAGGAGUUCCUGAAAGUGACUUACAUCAGUCCCACAUUUAUCUGUUAUCACCUGCAGAUAAUGAGCUCUUUGACCAAAUGAUCUCUCUAAGAGGGUCUCACUGAGCACUUUGAGCUAUUUGUCAUGAAGAUAGCUGAAUGUUUCCAUGCAGCAACAGCAGCAGCUGUUGACAAACAAGACAAGGCCAGCAAAGAUGAUGAGGCCACAUUCAUAGAUGAAAGCUUCCAUGCAACCCUGGAAUAUGGGCUUCCGCCCACAGCUGGUUGGAGCGUGACAAUCAAAUGUGUUACCAUGUUUCUCACAGACUCCCACAACAUCAAGGAAAUAUUUCUGACUCCUGGCAUGAAACUUGAAGAAAGAGAAUGUAGCAGCCACUAAUACAAUGGAAAGCGCAACAUUGACACGUCUAUCUAG